Molecule: unclassified non-coding RNA, 246 nt
Filed under: Hevea brasiliensis (rubber tree)
Lineage: Eukaryota; Viridiplantae; Streptophyta; Magnoliopsida; Malpighiales; Euphorbiaceae
Source: RNAcentral
UGAUCAUCUUGUGUCAAAUCCUCAAAUAUUGACAUGAUGUCAGUCUUUAAAUGGGCAGGCUCAAUAGUACCAGCAAAUUUUCCCAGGUUUGUUGCUGCAGAUCUACGAACCAUGGGCAUAUCAUCUUGACAUAGCUGACUGUAUAUUGCCCUCAGUUCAGUUUUUAAAGUCUCAGGAGCACUUGGAUAUGCAAUAUGAAACAAGCCACAUGAGGAAACUCGAGCUGUAAACCAUUCACCAGCAGCC